RNAcentral lists this long non-coding RNA (650 nucleotides) under Salmo salar (Atlantic salmon). RNAcentral's name for it is "lncRNA (ENSSSAG00000103566.1)". The record is from RNAcentral. Lineage: Eukaryota; Metazoa; Chordata; Actinopteri; Salmoniformes; Salmonidae.
GGGGACAGGGAUACUGGAGUGAUGGAGGUAGAUAUGUAUAGGGGGAAGGGGACAGGGAUACUGGAGAGAUGGAGGUAGAUAUGUAUAGGGGACAGGGAUACUGGAGUGAUGGAGGUAGAUAUGUAUAGGGGACAGGGAUACUGGAGUGAUGGAGGUAGAUAUGUAUAGGGGGAAGGGGACAGGGAUACUGGAGUGAUGGAGGUAGAUAUGUAUAGGGGGAAGGGGACAGGGAUACUGGAGUGAUGGAGGUAGAUAUGUAUAGGGGGAAGGGGACAGGGAUACUGGAGUGAUGGAGGUAGAUAUGUAUAGGGGGAAGGAGACAGGGAUACUGGAGUGAUGGAGGUAGAUAUGUAUAGGGGACAGGGAUACUGGAGUGAUGGAGGUAGAUAUGUAUAGGGGGAAGGGGACAGGGAUACUGGAGUGAUGGAGGUAGAUAUGUAUAGGGGGAAGGAGACAGGGAUACUGGAGUGAUGGAGGUAGAUAUGUAUAGGGGACAGGGAUACUGGAGUGAUGGAGGUAGAUAUGUAUAGGGGGAAGGGGACAGGGAUACUGGAGUGAUGGAGGUAGAUAUGUAUAGGGGGAAGGGGACAGGGAUACUGGAGUGAUGGAGGUAGAUAUGUAUAGGGGACAGGGAUACUGGAGUGAUGAAG